AUGGCUCCAAGUGACCAAAGUAAAUUGUCAAAUAGCACCAGAUACAGAUCGCUGUCAUAUUAUUUUAAAACUCAGAAGAUUUUUCUCAAUUGUUUAUGCUAUGUUUUUUGCACCUUCAUAAAUAUCUUAGAUUGGAAAUUUCUCUUGAAAAAGCGGGAAUGGGUUCGAACGGGUUUGAAAUUGAAGGCUAUUAUUAUGUCAAUCAAAACCUAUUUGGUUUCUAGGUUUGGCACUGCUGUCUCUUUCUGCAUUGAGCGAUUCAAAAUAAUCGCGGGAAUAUUUCUGUGCGCAACUUUAGUGAGCGAAAAUCGAAGUAAAAAUCAAAGAACUAUUGGUCGGCCAUAGCAAACUUUGGAAUUAUAAAUUCUUCAGAAGGAAAACAUAUUCAACCGAUAUUUUUAAGCGUAUCAAACUUUUGAUAUUGCAAAAACGCGUAUCCCUUUAAUUAGUGUUUCAAAAUCUCCUCGCCAAUGUUAAUGUAUCGAAGGAGGGCGAACUUUCAUUAUUUUCAUAAAUUUCCGCAGAACUUUCCUUCACGCUAUCACCGCUUCACGGUGACUUGUGAAUUAAUUAAGGAUGAGAAACGGCAUAACAAUUCAAUAAUGUGCAGCAAAUAUUUGAAAAUCGGCGUUUAUUUGUCUGAGCUCCAUGGGAAAACGCUCAAUUGAAUUUAUAUAAAUAAUUUAUAAAUUUAUAAGAUUAUUCGGUAAUGAUUGCAAUGUAUUGCCUGAAUUUCAGAUAUUUUUUCUCUUCUUUUUCGAGAACUUUUGUUAACACUAACAAAAUUAAAUUUGAAUAUUUUAUACUCGGACUGAUUGUGAAUUGAAUAAACAAGAACCGAAUGUGUGCAGCAAUAUUUGCGUAGUAUAAUUGCAUCCGAUUGUCAAUCGAUGAUUUUUUUUUUAUUUUUUUAAAUUUUUAUUCGUGUUUGAGGGGGCGGGAAGUGCCCGCUAAUGGCCUGCCCAUGAGACCCCCCCGAAAUAAAACUCAGAAUGCAACACCGUGACGAAUCGAUUGUGUAUAAACAAACGUUCGCAUAACUUCUCGAUUCGACCUUAAUUUUUCCUCUGGCCAGCUGACAAAAGAUCAUUGCCACUAUUCAAAGUUCCGAGGUGUCGCGAGCCGCGACUAGAAAUAGAGAUUUUCCUUCGUCUCUCAAUGCCUCACUGCGCGCAGUUAGAAUUUUGACCUUCGGAUUUUUUCCGGAUUUUUGAGGGGCUGAUGAAGACAGUGGCGUAUGCAGGAUAAUGUUCUAAGGGGGGGGGGGGGACAAACCUCCUACCGGUAGGUCUGGUCCAGGUGCAGCGGGGGGUCCGCCCCCCGGAAAAUUCUCAGGAUUUUAACCCCAUAAAAACCCCACUUUUUAAAAAUUUCAGUCCAUGGAAAAUGAUAAGAAGCUCUCCUCUAUUUUCCCCCAAAAAGACCUUGAAAAAUGGGAAACCGUCUGUACAAGGCCAAAUGGAAUGUUUUGUUUUAAGUAUGAGAUGGAAAAAACCACUAUAACUACCUGAAAAAAAAUGAGAUAAGUAGACUCUCCAAUUCCUUACAUUCAAAAAUGUUGAUCAAAUCAUUAAAGUGCCACAGUCGACGAAACUAUUUGUUUUCUCUUAUUUUUUUCUCUCUUUUUCUGGGGCUCUGGGGAGGAAAAGGGUCCGGACCCCCCCCCCCCCCCCCCCUUCCCCCCGUAAAUACUUCACUGGAUGAGGAUUCAACCCCAAAGGAAUAAUACCUUAAAGGAUCUACCAAUAAACGUUGAAACUGCAUAGACGCGUAUCUUGAUUUGCGGCGUUGCAAAAUUUCUGUCAGUUUGGUCUCUUUUUAAAAGUAAUGAAGGGGCAGAGAUUUUGAGACACCGCAAUCUCGUACUUAGACCGUCGCAUUAUGAGAAAGCUUGGUCUUAUCUAGAGAAAUCCAUCACAUUUUCUAAAGGGC
RNAcentral lists this long non-coding RNA (1932 nucleotides) under Bemisia tabaci. RNAcentral's name for it is "lncRNA ENSSSA1NGG000169". The record is from RNAcentral. Lineage: Eukaryota; Metazoa; Arthropoda; Insecta; Hemiptera; Aleyrodidae.